UAUGGUUGUUUCUCGCCAUACUGGCUAGGGACGAGCCAUUGGUUGAUACUAUCCAAUGGUUAUGUGUAUUUGGUGUCACGUGGUCGUGAGUCAGGUCCGUGCAGCGCUGAGUGUAGACAGUGACACAACACGUUAUAUACUUACGACUUGCAGUUGCCUUUUCCUUUUCCUGAGCUUUCGUUAUCUUCAGACUUCCUUUUGGCACUUACAGGAUGAAGCCCACGCACAUGUAAUAGUGUUAUCAUCCUAUACGGUUCAUCGCCCACAGCGAAGGUGCAAAUGUGGAAAAUGUCUGUAGCUAUGGCUUCUUCGAUGUCUGGUCGCUUAAAGUUGGAACAUAGAAAGCUGGGAAUGUUAAGAGUCCAAGAUGGAGGAAAGUGUUGCUGGAUUUGAUAGCAUCAGUUUGUCAGUGAAAUAACAAGCAAUGAAACCUACAUGAUUAAUAAAGAUACAUGUAUUGUAUAUGUACAUACAUGAUUUUGUGUCCAUU
Long non-coding RNA from Gigantopelta aegis, 490 nucleotides. RefSeq lists it as uncharacterized. The transcript has 3 exons. NCBI's taxonomy places the organism in Eukaryota, Metazoa, Mollusca, Gastropoda, Neomphalida, Peltospiridae. The record is from RefSeq and is a predicted model, not a curated record.